AAGAAAGUAAUAGAUAACCAAUGUUUGAUCUCGGAUUCUGACCAUAUUGAAAGGACAAAAACUUUCUAAUUUUUACUAAAAGGUAAUCAAAUGAAGUGCAAGACCUCUAAGGGUGUAUAUUCACUUGCCUUUCAUAUUCCACAUGAACCAAGAUGACUAGUGAUUGCUAAACAAUAGGCUCUCCUUUGCCCAUUUCUAAUUCAGGAAUGAUAGUACCACAAAAGGUAGAUUUGAUUAUGAUUAGUCAACUCAGAUGCUAUGAUUUGAAGAGAAAUGGGAAAAAUGUCCCUCAACUAAAGAACAUUAUCCCAUGAGCACAAUUCGUAGAAGAAACUGAUGAACCAUAAAUAGAUGAAUAGAUGACAUUCAAGGCAAAAUAAAUCUCACUAUACCUCUUUCCUCGUUCAAUUUCCAGAAUAAAUUAGUGCAAAAAAAUGAAGAUUGAAGAAUGAAAAAUUGAAAAUUUAUGAACAUGUUGAAGUCUUGAUUUGAAAUGUGGAUAGCCGAUCUCAGUUCUCACAGGCCACAUCUGAUCUGGCGAUCUCACAGGCGACAGCGUAAAGCCGAUCUUUGACUUUUUCAGUAAGGAGUCGUG
RNAcentral lists this long non-coding RNA (595 nucleotides) under Nicotiana benthamiana. RNAcentral describes it as "long non-coding RNA (NBEN_LNC013854)". Lineage: Eukaryota; Viridiplantae; Streptophyta; Magnoliopsida; Solanales; Solanaceae. The record is from RNAcentral.